AGGGUAUGGACAGUGGAUUUGCAGGUGUAGAAGAUGAAAUUUAUAAUGUUUAUGAUCAAGCCUAGAGAGGUGGUAAAGAUAUGGUCCAGAGUUUUUAUAGGUCCAGUAAAAAUCUGGACAAGGGCAUGUAUGGUGAUGACCUAGAAACCAGAAUAAAGACCAACAGAUUUGUUCCUGACAAGGAGUUUUCUGGUUCAGACCAUAGGCAGAGAGGCCGAGAGGCUGAGAAGGACCAUUCAGUUUGAAGAAGAUUCUUCUGAUUUGGACAACUUUUUGGAAGAAGCCAGGCAGCAUGGUGGCUCUCAAAGACCCUCAGCAGCCGCCCCAAAGAACAUAAGCAUGAAGGCAAGAAGAGGAGGAAGGAGUAG
This 368-nucleotide long non-coding RNA is filed under the name Homo sapiens (human). Its description in RNAcentral is "non-protein coding lnc-AKAP13-4:2". The record is from RNAcentral. Lineage: Eukaryota; Metazoa; Chordata; Mammalia; Primates; Hominidae.